Solenopsis invicta (red fire ant) is the source of this 432-nucleotide long non-coding RNA. RefSeq lists it as uncharacterized. The transcript has 2 exons. The record is from RefSeq and is a predicted model, not a curated record. Lineage: Eukaryota; Metazoa; Arthropoda; Insecta; Hymenoptera; Formicidae.
AACUUGCUCGGUUGUCCAAUUUGUAAUGUUGCAGUUUGAGCUGAUCCAUUUAUCGAUGUUAUGAAACCUGUGUCUACACGUCCCAUGAGACCGACAUUCAAGUGUAAUCGCUAAGUGACUCUCUUUGAUGAAUAUGUAGGCGAAUAUCAUAAUAAUUUUUUGAUUCUAAGAUCUGAUAUAUACACUGAUGAAGACUCGUAAUUAAAAGUCGAAACGUUUGCAAAUUUAUUUAUGUUUAUGGUUCUGGUUUCUUACGUAUAACACCCAGCGCGGCUCUUAAGCUCGUUAUUUUUAUCAAUUUUGAAUAGUAAUGUUUAACUUGUUAAUAAAGUUACUGAAGGAACUGGUAUAUUUAUUUUCCCUGAUUCUGAAUUCCUUAAUAUCUUAACUUCGAUAAAAAAUUGACUUGUGUUGUUUUUCAAUUAAAUUGAU